UGCAGUCGAGCGGAAGAAGGGAGCUUGCUCCCGGAUGUUAGCGGCGGACGGGUGAGUAACACGUGGGUAACCUGCCUGUAAGACUGGGAUAACUCCGGGAAACCGGAGCUAAUACCGGAUAGUUCCUUGAACCGCAUGGUUCAAGGAUGAAAGACGGUUUCGGCUGUCACUUACAGAUGGACCCGCGGCGCAUUAGCUAGUUGGUGAGGUAACGGCUCACCAAGGCGACGAUGCGUAGCCGACCUGAGAGGGUGAUCGGCCACACUGGGACUGAGACACGGCCCAGACUCCUACGGGAGGCAGCAGUAGGGAAUCUUCCGCAAUGGACGAAAGUCUGACGGAGCAACGCCGCGUGAGUGAUGAAGGUUUUCGGAUCGUAAAGCUCUGUUGUUAGGGAAGAACAAGUGCAAGAGUAACUGCUUGCACCUUGACGGUACCUAACCAGAAAGCCACGGCUAACUACGUGCCAGCAGCCGCGGUAAUACGUAGGUGGCAAGCGUUGUCCGGAAUUAUUGGGCGUAAAGGGCUCGCAGGCGGUUUCUUAAGUCUGAUGUGAAAGCCCCCGGCUCACCGGGGAGGGUCAUUGGAACUGGGAAACUUGAGUGCAGAAGAGGAGAGUGAUUCCACGUGUAGCGUGAAUGCGUAGAGAUGUGGAGGAACACCAGUGGCGAGGCGACUCUCUGGUCUGUACUGACGCUGAGAGCGAAGCGUGGGAGCGAACAGGAUUAGAUACCUGGUAGUCCACGCUGUAAACGAUGAGUGCUAAGUGUUAGGGGGUUUCCGCCCUUUAGUGCUGCAGCUAACGCAUUAAGCACUCCGCCUGGGGAGUACGGUCGCAAGACUGAAACUCAAAGGAAUUGACGGGGGCCCGCACAAGCGGUGGAGCAUGUGGUUUAAUUCGAAGCAACGCGAAGAACCUUACCAGGUCUUGACAUCCUCUGACAACCCUAGAGAUAGGGCUUUCCCUUCGGGGACAGAGUGACAGGUGGUGCAUGGUUGUCGUCAGCUCGUGUCGUGAGAUGUUGGGUUAAGUCCCGCAACGAGCGCAACCCUUGAUCUUAGUUGCCAGCAUUUAGUUGGGCACUCUAAGGUGACUGCCGGUGACAAACCGGAGGAAGGUGGGGAUGACGUCAAAUCAUCAUGCCCCUUAUGACCUGGGCUACACACGUGCUACAAUGGACAGAACAAAGGGCUGCGAGACCGCAAGGUUUAGCCAAUCCCACAAAUCUGUUCUCAGUUCGGAUCGCAGUCUGCAACUCGACUGCGUGAAGCUGGAAUCGCUAGUAAUCGCGGAUCGGCAUGCCGCGGUGAAUACGUUCCCGGGCCUUGUACACACCGCCCUCACACCACGAGAGUUUGCAACACCCGAAGUCGGUGAGGUAACCUUUAUGGAGCCAGCCGCCGAAG
RNAcentral lists this ribosomal RNA (1407 nucleotides) under Bacillus pumilus. RNAcentral's name for it is "bacterial SSU rRNA". It matches the Rfam family "Bacterial small subunit ribosomal RNA". The record is from RNAcentral. Lineage: Bacteria; Bacillati; Bacillota; Bacilli; Caryophanales; Bacillaceae.